UUACGACUACAUAUCAGGCAUAUCAAUAAGCGGAGGAAAAGAAACUAACUAGGAUUCCCCUUAGUAACGGCGAGUGAAGCGGGAAGAGCUCAAAUUUGAAAUCUUCAAGGUUCUACCUUGACGAAUUGUAGUUUAAAGGAAGUGUUUUCUGUUAGAGUUGAGUACAAAGUUCCUUGGAAUAGGACAUCAUAGAGGGUGAGAAUCCCGUAUUUGGAUUAUUCAUUCUAGCUUUGUGAUACACUUUCAAAGAGUCGGAUUGUUUGGGAAUGCAGAUCCAAAAUGGGUGGUAAAUUUCAUCUAAAGCUAAAUAUUGGCGAGAGACCGAUAGCGAACAAGUACCGUGAGGGAAAGAUGAAAAGAACUUUGAAAAGAGAGUUAAACAGUACGUGAAAUUGUCAAAAGGGAAGCGUUUGACACCAGUGUUGUUUAGUUGAAAAUCAAUUCAAUAGUUUUUGAUUCUAAGUAGUAUUGACUUCAUCAGCUUGCUGCUUUCUUCUCAGAAAUUAUUGAAUGCACUUUUCAGUUAACAAGUCAACAUCAAUUUCUUUUGUUGUAAAAGGGUAAGAGGAAGGUGGCUUGCGCUUCGGCUCAAGUGUUUAUAGCCUUUUAUCUCUGCAAUCGGAGAGAUUGAGGUCUGCAGCGUAGAUCCUUCGGGGUUAGAUACAUUGGUGCUAAGCUAUAGCCUUGUAUAGACAACUUGUUGACUAUGCUCAGUCAUGUAGCUUACUCGCUGAUGCUAUUUUACCUACGCUUAGGAUGUUGAGUAGCGACAUACGCAC
RNAcentral lists this ribosomal RNA (779 nucleotides) under uncultured Neocallimastigales. RNAcentral's name for it is "partial large subunit ribosomal RNA". It matches the Rfam family "Eukaryotic large subunit ribosomal RNA", at positions 24 to 649 of the family's 3401-position model. Lineage: Eukaryota; Fungi; Neocallimastigomycota; Neocallimastigomycetes; Neocallimastigales. The record is from RNAcentral.